Molecule: small RNA, 798 nt
Filed under: Oryza sativa Japonica Group (Japanese rice)
Lineage: Eukaryota; Viridiplantae; Streptophyta; Magnoliopsida; Poales; Poaceae
Description: misc RNA Os06g0287700
Source: RNAcentral
GCAUCAAGGCUAGGACCACCGUCGAACACCUGCUGUGCGCACCGCCCUGCGUUCCUUUGCUUCACCACCGUGUGUGCACAGAUCCCAGGGUGUGCACAGCAGCAUAGAUAAAUACAGUUGUAGCCUGAAAGAUAGAACUUAUAAUCUAUUGCUUAAAAGUUUAAAGAAAGUUGUUCAGAGAAGGAAUAUAAGAUGACGGAUACAGUACUCAGCAUUGCAAAGUCUCUGGUGGGAAGUGCUGUAAGCAAGGUUGCUUCGGUUGCCGCAGAAAAGAUGGUCUUGCUGCUGGGAGUGCAGAAGGAGAUAUGGUGAGCAUCUGAAUUGCAGCCUAAUUAAUUUUAUUUGUCAUUUGCAUUAGAUUUAUUGGGACCACACUUAUGCAGAGUGGUAUGGUACUCAGUUUAUUUUUAAUGAUUUAUUUAUAUUUUUUAUUACAUAUCCUGGAGGAACGCAUAUGCAGUUUUUUUUAUAAGUAUAUUAUUUGCAACAUCUUCGGGAGAUACAUGUAGAGGAAAGUGAAAGUAGGAUGUACUGGAAGUCCCUCUAUAUGCCCAAACACAAGUGGACACAGUUUCCUCAUGGUAACCAUGUUCAAUGAAGGAAUACAAACGACGCAGCUAUUAUGGACCUGGUGAUAAUCUAAUUUAGACAGAAACAUGGUUGCCUUCGAGAGUAAACAAUGUAGCAUGGCAUGCUUAAGUCAAAUGCAUGUACAAUUUGACAUGGAACUAUUACGUUCAGUGCUGUGCAAUUUUGCUUUUGACCAUGGAAUCAAAGAUUUAAUGCAAAUUAAUCUUC